This 274-nucleotide ribosomal RNA is filed under the name uncultured bacterium. RNAcentral's name for it is "partial 16S ribosomal RNA". It matches the Rfam family "Bacterial small subunit ribosomal RNA", at positions 79 to 348 of the family's 1533-position model. The record is from RNAcentral.
CUAAGUUUGAUGGCGACCGGCGCACGGGUGAGUAACACGUAUCCAACCUGCCGAUGACUCGGGGAUAGCCUUUCGAAAGAAAGAUUAAUACCCGAUGGCAUAGUUCUUCCGCAUGGUAGAACUAUUAAAGAAUUUCGGUCAUCGAUGGGGAUGCGUUCCAUUAGGUUGUUGGCGGGGUAACGGCCCACCAAGCCUUCGAUGGAUAGGGGUUCUGAGAGGAAGGUCCCCCACAUUGGAACUGAGACACGGUCCAAACUCCUACGGGAGGAGCAUG